Molecule: ribosomal RNA, 435 nt
Filed under: uncultured bacterium
Lineage: Bacteria
Description: bacterial SSU rRNA
Rfam family: Bacterial small subunit ribosomal RNA
Source: RNAcentral
CGGAGGCAGCAGUGAGGAAUAUUGCUUAAUGGGCGCAAGCCUGAAGCAGCAACGCCGCGUGUGCGAUGAAGGCCUUCGGGUUGUAAAGCACUUUUAGCAGGGAAGAGGAAGGACGGUACCUGCUGAAUAAGCCUCGGCUAACUACGUGCCAGCAGCCGCGGUAAAACGUAGGAGGCGAGCGUUAUCCGGAUUUACUGGGUGUAAAGCGCGUGCAGGCGGUUGGUUAAGUUGGGUGUGAAAGCUCCUGGCUCAACUGGGAGAGGUCGCUCAAGACUGGCCAACUGGAGAGCAGUAAGGGAAGGUGGAAUUCCGGGUGUAGUGGUGAAAUGCGUAGAUAUCCGGAGGAACACCAGUGGCGAAGGCGGCCUUCUGGACUGCUUCUGACGCUCAGACGCGAAAGCUAGGGGAGCAAACGGGAUUAGAUACCCCGGUAGG